This 229-nucleotide ribosomal RNA is filed under the name Skeletonema marinoi. RNAcentral's name for it is "partial Bacterial large subunit ribosomal RNA". It matches the Rfam family "Bacterial large subunit ribosomal RNA", at positions 1532 to 1756 of the family's 2925-position model. The record is from RNAcentral. Lineage: Eukaryota; Bacillariophyta; Thalassiosirophyceae; Thalassiosirales; Thalassiosiraceae.
UUAGGCAAAUCCGGGGUACUCUAUGCUGAGAACUGAUAGCAAGCUGUACUUGUACAGUGAAGUGGCUGAUACCAUGCUUCCAGGAAAAGUCUCUAAGCUUCAGUUACAUAGGAAUCGUACCCGAAACCGACACAGGUGGUCAGGUCGAGUAGACCAAAGCGCUUGAGAGAACUCUGCUGAAGGAACUAGGCAAAAUGGUACCGUAACUUCGGGAGAAGGUACGCUGCCG